RNAcentral lists this ribosomal RNA (648 nucleotides) under uncultured bacterium. Its description in RNAcentral is "bacterial SSU rRNA". It matches the Rfam family "Bacterial small subunit ribosomal RNA", at positions 229 to 888 of the family's 1533-position model. The record is from RNAcentral.
AUUCGCGGCCUAUCAGCUUGUUGGUGGGGUAAUGGCCUACCAAGGCGACGACGGGUAGCCGACCUGAGAGGGUGACCGGCCACACUGGGACUGAGACACGGCCCAGACUCCUACGGGAGGCAGCAGUGGGGAAUAUUGCACAAUGGGCGAAAGCCUGGUGCAGCGACGCCGCGUGAGGGAUGACGGCCUUCGGGUUGUAAACCUCUUUCAGCAGGGACGAAGCGCAAGUGACGGUACCUGCAGAAGAAGCACCGGCUAACUACGUGCCAGCAGCCGCGGUAAUACGUAGGGUGCAAGCGUUGUCCGGAAUUACUGGGCGUAAAGAGUUCGUAGGCGGUUUGUCGCGUCGUUUGUGAAAACCAGCAGCUCAACUGCUGGCUUGCAGGCGAUACGGGCAGACUUGAGUACUGCAGGGGAGACUGGAAUUCCUGGUGUAGCGGUGAAAUGCGCAGAUAUCAGGAGGAACACCGGUGGCGAAGGCGGGUCUCUGGGCAGUAACUGACGCUGAGGAACGAAAGCGUGGGUAGCGAACAGGAUUAGACACCCUGGUAGUCCACGCCGUAAACGGUGGGCGCUAGGUGUGGGUUCCUUCCACGGAAUCCGUGCCGUAGCUAACGCAUUAAGCGCCCCGCCUGGGGAGUACGGAAU